UACAUGGGGUGCAAACGUUGCUCGGAAUUAUUGGGCGUAAAGCGCGCGUAGGCGGUUACCUAAGUCGGAUGUGAAAGCCCUCGGCUUAACUGAGGAAGUGCACCCGAAACUGGGUAGCUAGAGUACGAAAGAGGGUCGCGGAAUUCCCGGUGUAGAGGUGAAAUUCGUAGAUAUUCGGAGGAACACCAGUGGCGAAGGCGGCUCACUGGUCCGGUACUGACGCUGAGGUGCGAAAGCGUGGGGAGCAAACAGG
RNAcentral lists this ribosomal RNA (253 nucleotides) under uncultured bacterium. RNAcentral's name for it is "partial 16S ribosomal RNA". It matches the Rfam family "Bacterial small subunit ribosomal RNA", at positions 524 to 776 of the family's 1533-position model. The record is from RNAcentral.